RNAcentral lists this ribosomal RNA (398 nucleotides) under uncultured bacterium. Its description in RNAcentral is "bacterial SSU rRNA". It matches the Rfam family "Bacterial small subunit ribosomal RNA", at positions 30 to 426 of the family's 1533-position model. The record is from RNAcentral.
AUUGAACGCUGGCGGCAUGCCUUACACAUGCAAGUCGAACGGCAGCACGGGAGCAAUCCUGGUGGCGAGUGGCGAACGGGUGAGUAAUAUAUCGGAACGUGCCCAGUCGUGGGGAUAACGUAGCGAAAGCUACGCUAAUACCGCAUACGAUCUAAGGAUGAAAGCGGGGGACUCGCAAGAGCCUCGCGCGAUUGGAGCGGCCGAUAUCAGAUUAGGUAGUUGGUGGGGUAAAGGGCUCACCAAGCCAACGAUCUGUAGCUGGUCUGAGAGGACGACCAGCCACACUGGAACUGAGACACGGUCCAGACUCCUACGGGAGGCAGCAGUGGGGAAUUUUGGACAAUGGACGCAAGUCUGAUCCAGCCAUUCCGCGUGCAGGAUGAAGGCCCUCGGGUUGU